This 72-nucleotide transfer RNA is filed under the name Camelus bactrianus (Bactrian camel). It matches the Rfam family "tRNA". From Rfam's summary of the family: Transfer RNA (tRNA) molecules are approximately 80 nucleotides in length. RNAcentral also lists the same sequence under 2 other names. The record is from Rfam by way of RNAcentral. Lineage: Eukaryota; Metazoa; Chordata; Mammalia; Artiodactyla; Camelidae.
GAGGGUAUAGCUCAGUGGUAGAGUGUGUGCUUAGCAUGCACCAGAUCCUGGGUUCAAUCCCUAGUAUCUCCA